Molecule: long non-coding RNA, 234 nt
Filed under: Elaeis guineensis (African oil palm)
Lineage: Eukaryota; Viridiplantae; Streptophyta; Magnoliopsida; Arecales; Arecaceae
Description: long non-coding RNA (EGUI_LNC057400)
Source: RNAcentral
UUAGUGGGUUGGCUUAAGGGUUAGAAAGGAAUUAGGGUUAGGGUUCGAUUAAGUCUAGGAUUUUGAGGAGGGUUAGUAGUGGGUUCAGUUAGGAUUAGGUUAAGGGUUAGAGUUUGGAUGAGGUUAGGGUUAGGUUAGAUUUGGGGUUAGGGUUAGGAUGGAAUUGGGGUUAGGGUUUCGUUCAGCUGUCAAAGAAGUCCGACAGAAGAUGGAGAUGGAAAAAAGAAAAAAAAA